Molecule: ribosomal RNA, 253 nt
Filed under: uncultured bacterium
Lineage: Bacteria
Description: partial 16S ribosomal RNA
Rfam family: Bacterial small subunit ribosomal RNA
Source: RNAcentral
UACGUAGGGUGCAAGCGUUGUCCGGAAUUAUUGGGCGUAAAGAGCUCGUAGGCGGUUUGUCGCGUCUGCUGUGAAAACUCGGGGCUUAACUCCGGGCCUGCAGUGGGUACGGGCAGACUAGAGUGCGGUAGGGGAGACUGGAAUUCCUGGUGUAGCGGUGAAAUGCGCAGAUAUCAGGAGGAACACCGGCGGCGAAGGCGGGUCUCUGGGCCGUAACUGACGCUGAGGAGCGAAAGCGUGGGGAGCGAACAGG